This 497-nucleotide ribosomal RNA is filed under the name uncultured bacterium. RNAcentral describes it as "partial 16S ribosomal RNA". It matches the Rfam family "Bacterial small subunit ribosomal RNA", at positions 28 to 507 of the family's 1533-position model. The record is from RNAcentral.
GAUGAACGCUGGCGGCGUGCCUAAUACAUGCAAUUCGAGCGAACAGACGAGGAGCUUGCUCCUCUGACGUUAGCGGCGGACGUGUGAGUAACACGUGGAUAACCCACCUAUAAGACUGGGAUAACUUCGGGAAACCGGAGCUAAUACCGGAUAACAUGUUGAACCGCAUGGUUCAACAGUGUCAGACGGUCUUGCUGUCACUUAUAUAUGGAUCCGCGCCGCAUUAGCUAGUUGGUAAGGUAACGGCUUACCAAGGCAACGAUGCGUAGCCGACCUGAGAGGGUGAUCGGCAACACUGGAACUGAGACACGGUCCAGACUCCUACGGGAGGCAGAAGUAGGGAAUCUUCCGCAAUGGGCGAAAGCCUGACGGAGCAACGCCGCGUGAGUGAAGAAGGUCUUCGGAUCGUAAAACUCUGUUAUUAGGGAAGAACAAAUGUGUAAGUAACUAUGCACGUCUUGACGGUACCUAAUCAGAAAGCCACGGCUAACUACGUG